GGGGAUAACGUUCGGAAACGGACGCUGAUACCGCAUACGUCCUACGGGAGAAAGCAGGGACCUUCGGGCCCUUGCGCUAUCAGAUGAGCCUAGGUCGGAUUAGCUAGUUGGUGGGGUAAUGGCUCACCAAGGCGACGAUCCGUAACUGGUCUGAGAGGAUGAUCAGUCACACUGGAACUGAGACACGGUCCAGACUCCUACGGGAGGCAGCAGUGGGGAAUAUUGGACAAUGGGCGAAAGCCUGAUCCAGCCAUGCCGCGUGUGUGAAGAAGGUCUUCGGAUUGUAAAGCACUUUAAGUUGGGAGGAAGGGCAGUUGCCUAAUACGUAACUGUUUUGACGUUACCGACAGAAUAAGCACCGGCUAACUCUGUGCCAGCAGCCGCGGUAAUACAGAGGGUGCAAGCGUUAAUCGGAAUUACUGGGCGUAAAGCGCGCGUAGGUGGUUUGUUAAGUUGGAUGUGAAAUCCCCGGGCUCAACCUGGGAACUGCAUUCAAAACUGACUGACUAGAGUAUGGUAGAGGGUGGUGGAAUUUCCUGUGUAGCGGUGAAAUGCGUAGAUAUAGGAAGGAACACCAGUGGCGAAGGCGACCACCUGGACUGAUACUGACACUGAGGUGCGAAAGCGUGGGGAGCAAAC
RNAcentral lists this ribosomal RNA (639 nucleotides) under uncultured bacterium. RNAcentral's name for it is "bacterial SSU rRNA". It matches the Rfam family "Bacterial small subunit ribosomal RNA", at positions 139 to 773 of the family's 1533-position model. The record is from RNAcentral.